This 468-nucleotide ribosomal RNA is filed under the name uncultured bacterium. RNAcentral's name for it is "partial 16S ribosomal RNA". It matches the Rfam family "Bacterial small subunit ribosomal RNA", at positions 28 to 507 of the family's 1533-position model. The record is from RNAcentral.
GACGAACGCUGGCGGCGUGCUUAAUACAUGCCAGUCGAACGGAAAGGCCCUGCUUUUGUGGGGUGCUCGAGUGGCGAACGGGUGAGUAACACGUGAGUAACCUGCCCUUGACUUUGGGAUAACUUCAGGAAACUGGGGCUAAUACCGGAUAGGAGCUCCUGCUGCAUGGUGGGGGUUGGAAAGUUUCGGCGGUUGGGGAUGGACUCGCGGCUUAUCAGCUUGUUGGUGGGGUAGUGGCUUACCAAGGCUUUGACGGGUAGCCGGCCUGAGAGGGUGACCGGCCACAUUGGGACUGGGAUACGGCCCAGACUCCUACGGGAGGCAGCAGUGGGGAAUAUUGCACAAUGGGCGGAAGCCUGAUGCAGCAACGCCGCGUGCGGGAUGACGGCCUUCGGGUUGUAAACCGCUUUCGCCUGUGACGAAGCGUGAGUGACGGUAAUGGGUAAAGAAGCACCGGCUAACUACGUG